This 514-nucleotide ribosomal RNA is filed under the name uncultured bacterium. Its description in RNAcentral is "partial 16S ribosomal RNA". It matches the Rfam family "Bacterial small subunit ribosomal RNA", at positions 28 to 523 of the family's 1533-position model. The record is from RNAcentral.
GAUGAACGCUGGCGGCGUGCCUAAUACAUGCAAGUCGAGCGAACAGAUGAGAAGCUUGCUUCUCUGAUGUUAGCGGCGGACGGGUGAGUAACACGUGGGUAACCUACCUAUAAGACUGGAAUAACUCCGGGAAACCGGGGCUAAUACCGGAUAAUAUUUCGAACCGCAUGGUUCGAUAGUGAAAGACGGUUUCGGCUGUCACUUAUAGAUGGACCCGCGCCGUAUUGGCUAGUUGGUAAGGUAACGGCUUACCAAGGCGACGAUACGUAGCCGACCUGAGAGGGUGAUCGGCCACACUGGAACUGAGACACGGUCCAGACUCCUACGGGAGGCAGCAGUAGGGAAUCUUCCGCAAUGGGCGAAAGCCUGACGGAGCAACGCCGCGUGAGUGAUGAAGGUCUUCGGAUCGUAAAACUCUGUUGUUAGGGAAGAACAAAUUUGUUAGUAACUGAACAAGUCUUGACGGUACCUAACCAGAAAGCCACGGCUAACUACGUGCCAGCCGCCGCAGUAA